CAGCCUGCUAUUGGGAACAUCAGAAGGAACCCACUGUCCACACCUAAGCUCAUCCCCACUCGAUUUAUGGUGCUCUAAGUUCAGAGGCAGCAGCUUCUCUUCUAGGGCAAUCACUUCCCUUAGCAGCCCAAAGAGUUGAGAUGUUGAUCCUGUGGGGUGACCUGCUUGCUGUCUCUUGGAAGAUGUUUUUUGGUGGCACUGGUGCAGAAGUUGUAGAAGGACAGAGCGGGAGACAUGUUAAAGGAUUUUAGGACUCCUGAGUCUUGUGUACAGACCUUCAAGAUCUCCCUCACCUCCUGGUAUGCCAUGAAGCGUUGGACCAAAGCCCAAAAUAAGAAGAUGAGGGUCAGAAAGGACUAGGCACUCUCAGGAAGUACAGAAUUUAAAGACAGUCAAGAAACAACCAUUGGGAGAUGAGAUGAGACAUGUGCAAGAGAGGUAAUUAAGUGAUAACCUGUAGAUCUGACCAGGGUCAAAAUGGACCACAAUUACAGCACUGGGGGUUUAGUGAAGGAGUUCACUAUGGGCAAUAGUAUUGAAGUAUAGAACUUGAACUGAAUGUAG
Molecule: long non-coding RNA, 564 nt
Filed under: Sus scrofa (pig)
Lineage: Eukaryota; Metazoa; Chordata; Mammalia; Artiodactyla; Suidae
Description: lncRNA (ENSSSCG00070012941.1)
Source: RNAcentral